This 2270-nucleotide long non-coding RNA is filed under the name Fukomys damarensis (Damara mole-rat). Its description in RNAcentral is "lncRNA (ENSFDAG00000024232.1)". Lineage: Eukaryota; Metazoa; Chordata; Mammalia; Rodentia; Bathyergidae. The record is from RNAcentral.
CUGCCUUAUAAAGAUGAAUAUCAUUCUCAUGAAGAAUGCUAGCCACAUGAAAGAUUAAAGUAUGCAUUUUUUCCUUCUAGCAGUGAUAAAAUAUCAACAGUUGCCUGUUUACCUGUGACCUGGGAACACGGCAACAUGCCAUGUUUCCAAAUAUCCCCAUAAAUAAAGCUAAAAUUCAGCAAAAUUGGGCAGAUAAUUAUAGGUUUGCAGAACUAACAAACAUGCAAGCACACGCUACCCUGCCUCCUCAAUUCUAACAGCAGAGUUUUUCUUUCCUGGAGAAAUCUGAAAUUUAAGAUUGUAUUCAGCCUGCAAAAUAGCCUUAGACUGUUAGAGCCUUAGAAUACCUCCAUGGACUAUGGCAAAAGCUCUUUGGCUUCGAGCUAACACGACUCUCCUGCCUGUACACAAGGGAAUAAGGAUCUGACUCUCUGGAGUGUGAGGUGCAUGGAUGUGUGUGUGUGUGUGUGUGUGUGUGUGUGUGUGUGUUUGUGUGUGUGUGUUACUUGCGUUCGGCAUUCAAGGCCGCCCUAUACAUAGCAGCGCAAUCCUCGGGAUGCAGCUGUCUCCGGGGCUCGGGCAGCUGUGGGACAGCAGGGCAGCUGGAGGUCGCUGCACCGCGGCGUCACCCUGGACCCUGACAGAGCUUGGCUGGGCUGAGUCCUGGCCCGGCACCGCCUGGGCUGCGGUCCCCCAGCUCCCGACGCCCUCCGGGAUGCACCUCGGGCUCGCCCAGUUGGGGGAGCGCUUUGUCCACCCUCAUCCCUCGCUCCGGACCAGGCUCCGGGACUUUCUCCUCCCGAGUUCGCCCGUGUCUGCUCCACCCCGGGUGUAGCGUGGAUGUGGCCAGGCGGCGGGGAGCACCCCCAAAGGAAGUGUGGAGUGGAAUCAGCGCCUCUUAAGAGUGAACUCACUAACAAAAGGACGUGGGAUGAAAGGAGUUGUCUUUGGCAGCGACAGUCCCCCCACAACAAACAAAAAGCAAGUAAAUAAACAAAAAAAUCUUGCUCUGUUCCUACCCCACAUGCUUCCCAUUCCUAAUGUUUUCUAAAUCUGUUUUUUGUUUUGUUUUGUUUUGUUUUUUUAAUUGUGCAGAUUUGCCUUCGUUUUAGUCAAUCACUAAUCAGCAGACCUUUGGGAUUCCGAGGUAGGGAGAGCGGUGGGUCUCAGAACACACCCGGGCUGUGCAACAAGGUAUGUGUUUACUCUUCUUUAAAACUGGGCAUUACUGUGUGACAGACACGGCCUAGCCUGAUGGGUGUAAUCUUGCGUCCCGCGGUACUUGAACUCUGAAUUUACCCUGGGGAGCAGUGUGACUUGUAAAUCCAGCUUCUGGCCCAGCAAAUUGCUAGCUGUUACCCAAGAGCUCAGACAAUUCCUGUGCCCCUUUGGAGUUGAUUUAGACUUCGAUACCCCAGGGAUCUGUAGAGUUUAGCAUUCUAUCAGCCGGAGAUUGCCCGAGACCUUCCACAUGCCUCCAAAAAAAUACAUUUUCCAUUGAUUAUUUUACAUUUUGUUUCUGGAACAUUGCAUUUUCUACAAGAGCUUAACGCAAUGGGCAUGUGAGGAGCAGACCCGUGGUGUUCUGCAGUGGGGGAAAGAAGGGAUGGAGGUGUCAAGAAGGAAUGAAAUGGAGAAAACCAGAGCUAGAUUGUGGACUUUCUUCGCUCCAACUUUUGUGUAAUUAAUGUGCUACACAUGGCCACAUGGAUCUCCAUCUUUUCAUCCUUCACACAGCCCUAGUAACAUCCUUCAAAUACUGGCUCCACAAAACACUUCCUACAGAAACCCAUCCUGACCAAAAAGUCUAUGGCACACACUACUGCAUCUUAAAAACACAAGAAGUUUUUAUUCUUUAAUUUUCCACACAUUUGAUCUUUCUUUGGAUGAUACAAACCUUGAGACUGAGUCACUGUUAUUAUUACUGAAAAUGAACUAAGAUGAUGAUUCUAUUUAACUUACUCAUGUUUCCUUCCUGCCACACCCACAAACAUGCUAGGCCAAGAAAAGGACCCAGAAUUUUUUUCUCUAAGUACACAUUAUGACAAAUAGUAUUAAGGAUAUUUAUAAAUUAGCAAGUUGUUAAGAAUCCUUUGUUUUGAAGAAAUUGUUAAUUUGAAAUUGGCAAUAAGCUACACAGAGAAAUGCUGUAAAUAUAAAUGUGUUUCUGCCUUCAAGUUUCUCCAAAGGUAUUCAAGACUGAUCAUCACUUCUAUAGUAUAUCAUAGAAUAUUUUUUUCCAUUUAAUGGUGUGGCAUUCAGGCGGGAGG